GUUUGAAGUUUACGUUUGGCGUAUAAAUUUCAUGCUUGAACGACUACAAGCCCUCAUAGCAGUUCAAGUAUGAAAUUUAUACGCCAAACGUCAACUUCAAAC
This 102-nucleotide microRNA precursor is filed under the name Paramuricea clavata. Lineage: Eukaryota; Metazoa; Cnidaria; Anthozoa; Malacalcyonacea; Plexauridae. The record is from RNAcentral.